Long non-coding RNA from Crotalus tigris (Tiger rattlesnake), 476 nucleotides. RefSeq lists it as uncharacterized. Lineage: Eukaryota; Metazoa; Chordata; Lepidosauria; Squamata; Viperidae. The record is from RefSeq and is a predicted model, not a curated record. The transcript has 3 exons.
CCAAAGGCCUCAGCCCUGUCUUAAAUCAUCAUCAAAACUCUUCUCAGGAUACUCAGAAGUUUUACAUCCCAAAAUUGUGGUUUCUCCCCCAAAGCUGGGCUGAGGAAUAAAGAACCUAAUGAUUCAAAAGGGUGUGAAAUAUAAAAUGGAGCUGCACCAAUCGUGGUGAAAGAAGCUGCACCAUUCCACAGCAGCAAGCAGACUGCCUUGAACAAACCGUUUCCAGCCCUCUGAAGUUGGAUUCAGCAUUCUAGAUGGCAGAUAAGACUAAAUUUUGUCCAUGUGACCUUGGAGAUGUGUUUGAUUAUCAACCUCUGGGACAAGAAGUGUCAAUUGAGCAUAUUAAGGCCUAUGUGAAGAAGCCCUCUUCCCAGACUGAUGCAGCUGUAAUUGUGAUUCAUGAUAUAUUUGGAUGGCAACUCCCAAAUACUAGAUAUAUUGCUGAUUUGGUUGCUUCCAAUGGAUACAUGUAAGAA